RNAcentral lists this ribosomal RNA (495 nucleotides) under uncultured bacterium. RNAcentral's name for it is "partial 16S ribosomal RNA". It matches the Rfam family "Bacterial small subunit ribosomal RNA", at positions 28 to 507 of the family's 1533-position model. The record is from RNAcentral.
GACGAACGCUGGCGGCGUGCCUAAUACAUGCAAGUAGAACGCUGAAGGAGGAGCUUGCUUCUCUGGAUGAGUUGCGAACGGGUGAGUAACGCGUAGGUAACCUGCCUGGUAGCGGGGGAUAACUAUUGGAAACGAUAGCUAAUACCGCAUAAGAGUAGAUGUUGCAUGACAUUUGCUUAAAAGGUGCAAUUGCAUCACUACCAGAUGGACCUGCGUUGUAUUAGCUAGUUGGUGGGGUAACGGCUCACCAAGGCGACGAUACAUAGCCGACCUGAGAGGGUGAUCGGCCACACUGGGACUGAGACACGGCCCAGACUCCUACGGGAGGCAGCAGUAGGGAAUCUUCGGCAAUGGACGGAAGUCUGACCGAGCAACGCCGCGUGAGUGAAGAAGGUUUUCGGAUCGUAAAGCCCUGUUGUAAGAGAAGAACGAGUGUGAGAGUGGAAAGUUCACACUGUGACGGUAUCUUACCAGAAAGAGACGGCUAACUACGUG